Molecule: ribosomal RNA, 301 nt
Filed under: uncultured bacterium
Lineage: Bacteria
Description: partial 16S ribosomal RNA
Rfam family: Bacterial small subunit ribosomal RNA
Source: RNAcentral
CAGUAGCCGCGGUAAUACGUAGGGUGCGAGCGUUAAUCGGAAUUACUGGGCGUAAAGCGAGCGCAGACGGUUAUUUAAGCAGGAUGUGAAAUCCCCGGGCUUAACCUGGGAACUGCGUUCUGAACUGGAUAGCUAGAGUGUGUCAGAGGGGGGUAGAAUUCCACGUGUAGCAGUGAAAUGCGUAGAGAUGUGGAGGAAUACCGAUGGCGAAGGCAGCCCCCUGGGAUAACACUGACGUUCAUGCUCGAAAGCGUGGGUAGCAAACAGGAUUAGAUACCCGGGUAGUCCCUGUCUCUUAUAC